RNAcentral lists this ribosomal RNA (808 nucleotides) under Lentilactobacillus buchneri. Its description in RNAcentral is "bacterial SSU rRNA". It matches the Rfam family "Bacterial small subunit ribosomal RNA", at positions 31 to 828 of the family's 1533-position model. Lineage: Bacteria; Bacillati; Bacillota; Bacilli; Lactobacillales; Lactobacillaceae. The record is from RNAcentral.
GAACGCGUCUCCGUUAAUGAUUUUAGGUGCUUGCACUUGAAAGAUUUAACAUUGAGACGAGUGGCGAACUGGUGAGUAACACGUGGGUAACCUGCCCUUGAAGUAGGGGAUAACACUUGGAAACAGGUGCUAAUACCGUAUAACAACCAAAACCACCUGGUUUUGGUUUAAAAGACGGCUUCGGCUGUCACUUUAGGAUGGACCCGCGGCGUAUUAGCUUGUUGGUAAGGUAACGGCUUACCAAGGCGAUGAUACGUAGCCGACCUGAGAGGGUAAUCGGCCACAUUGGGACUGAGACACGGCCCAAACUCCUACGGGAGGCAGCAGUAGGGAAUCUUCCACAAUGGACGAAAGUCUGAUGGAGCAACGCCGCGUGAGUGAUGAAGGGUUUCGGCUCGUAAAACUCUGUUGUUGGAGAAGAACAGGUGUCAGAGUAACUGUUGACAUCUUGACGGUAUCCAACCAGAAAGCCACGGCUAACUACGUGCCAGCAGCCGCGGUAAUACGUAGGUGGCAAGCGUUGUCCGGAUUUAUUGGGCGUAAAGCGAGCGCAGGCGGUUUUUUAGGUCUGAUGUGAAAGCCUUCGGCUUAACCGGAGAAGUGCAUCGGAAACCGGGAGACUUGAGUGCAGAAGAGGACAGUGGAACUCCAUGUGUAGCGGUGAAAUGCGUAGAUAUAUGGAAGAACACCAGUGGCGAAGGCGGCUGUCUGGUCUGUAACUGACGCUGAGGCUCGAAAGCAUGGGUAGCGAACAGGAUUAGAUACCCUGGUAGUCCAUGCCGUAAACGAUGAGUGCUAAGUGUUGGAG